This is a long non-coding RNA of Suncus etruscus (white-toothed pygmy shrew), 312 nucleotides long. RefSeq lists it as uncharacterized. The transcript is spliced from 2 exons. Lineage: Eukaryota; Metazoa; Chordata; Mammalia; Eulipotyphla; Soricidae. The record is from RefSeq and is a predicted model, not a curated record.
ACUAGACACUAUUCCUACCAGCACUUGCUUUAUCACCACCUCCCCACCAACACAGAUGGUUCCAGACUAUAACUUGUGGUCCACGGUGAUGUCCUCAACCUUCUGCACUGCUGAAUGGACAUCUCCCAAGGUGUGACUAAGUGUUCCCAGUUCACUCAUCCAUCUUUGUGCUGUCCGCUAGCACUGAGCCUCUACCUGCUGUUUAUCGUCGGGGCCAUACCCUUGUAUAUGUGGCAGCUGCAGCAUCAAGUCAUCACUGCAUACACACGAUGAGAAAUUUGUGAAGCAUUAAAACCAAUAGGAAAAAUGCUA